CAGGGCGGCGGCUACACAUGCAAGUCGAGCGAGCUCUUCGGAGCUAGCGGCGGACGGGUUAGUAACGCGUGGGAACGUGCCCUUCACUGCGGAAUAGCCACUGGAAACGGUGAGUAAUACCGCAUACGCCCUUCGGGGGAAAGAUUUAUCGGUGAAGGAUCGGCCCGCGUUAGAUUAGAUAGUUGGUGGGGUAACGGCCUACCAAGUCUACGAUCUAUAGCUGGUUUUAGAGGAUGAUCAGCAACACUGGGACUGAGACACGGCCCAGACUCCUACGGGAGGCAGCAGUGGGGAAUCUUGGACAAUGGGCGCAAGCCUGAUCCAGCCAUGCCGCGUGAGUGAUGAAGGCCUUAGGGUCGUAAAGCUCUUUCGCCAGAGAUGAUAAUGACAGUAUCUGGUAAAGAAACCCCGGCUAACUCCGUGCCAGCAGCCGCGGUAAUACGGAGGGGGUUAGCGUUGUUCGGAAUUACUGGGCGUAAAGCGCACGUAGGCGGAUCAGAAAGUUGGGGGUGAAAUCCCGGGGCUCAACCCCGGAACUGCCUCCAAAACUCCUGGUCUUGAGUUCGAGAGAGGUGAGUGGAAUUCCGAGUGUAGAGGUGAAAUUCGUAGAUAUUCGGAGGAACACCAGUGGCGAAGGCGGCUCACUGGCUCGAUACUGAC
RNAcentral lists this ribosomal RNA (660 nucleotides) under Marinovum sp. Its description in RNAcentral is "bacterial SSU rRNA". It matches the Rfam family "Bacterial small subunit ribosomal RNA", at positions 36 to 744 of the family's 1533-position model. The record is from RNAcentral. Lineage: Bacteria; Pseudomonadati; Pseudomonadota; Alphaproteobacteria; Rhodobacterales; Roseobacteraceae.